UAGGGAAUCUUCCGCAAUGGGCGAAAGCCUGACGGAGCAACGCCGCGUGAGUGAUGAAGGUCUUCGGAUCGUAAAACUCUGUUAUUAGGGAAGAACAAAUGUGUAAGUAACUAUGCACAUCUUGACGGUACCUAAUCAGAAAGCCACGGCUAACUACGUGCCAGCAGCCGCGGUAAUACGUAGGUGGCAAGCGUUAUCCGGAAUUAUUGGGCGUAAAGCGCGCGUAGGCGGUUUUUUAAGUCUGAUGUGAAAGCCCACGGCUCAACCGUGGAGGGUCAUUGGAAACUGGAAAACUUGAGUGCAGAAGAGGAAAGUGGAAUUCCAUGUGUAGCGGUGAAAUGCGCAGAGAUAUGGAGGAACACCAGUGGCGAAGGUGACUUUCUGGUCUGUAACUGACGCUGAUGUGCGAAAGCGUGGGGAGCGAACAGG
RNAcentral lists this ribosomal RNA (429 nucleotides) under Bacteroidota bacterium. Its description in RNAcentral is "Bacteroidetes bacterium partial 16S ribosomal RNA". It matches the Rfam family "Bacterial small subunit ribosomal RNA", at positions 355 to 776 of the family's 1533-position model. The record is from RNAcentral. Lineage: Bacteria; Pseudomonadati; Bacteroidota.